Long non-coding RNA from Chelonia mydas (Green sea turtle), 1656 nucleotides. RefSeq lists it as uncharacterized. The record is from RefSeq and is a predicted model, not a curated record. NCBI's taxonomy places the organism in Eukaryota, Metazoa, Chordata, Testudines, Cheloniidae. The transcript is spliced from 3 exons.
AGAAUGCAGGGAGUCAAAAGGUGCCUGCAGGGUCUUAAGUGAGCACCUAGGGAACAGAUUGGGAGACCUAGAAGGGAAAUAAAGAGGUGAGGAAGGAAAUGGUGUAGGGAAAACUGCAAUAUGGGUAGAGGAUUUGAUGUAGCUGUGCAGUACAGGGCCUUGGGCUGUAACCCAGAAUUGAGGUGGGGACUGGAUUCCCGUACCAGCCCCAAGGAAGCAGUGUACAAGGGUAGCUGAGCCCAGUGAGGGGGCUGCAGGCUGAAUGUGACCUCGCUGAAGAGGAGCUGUAGAGAGGGUGGAAGCUUUUUAUUUCUGUUAAGAUAGUUCUGAACACUAGUGCGGAUAGCUGACCCUGGAAGGAAUGGGCUAAAGACUGGGCCCUGGCUGGCGGGAUGAGUUCUCUGAAGGAAACCACCUCAGCCCCAGAGUGACUGUUGACAAGGGCUGCUACCCCACAAGGACACUGUGAUGCCAUGCCUGGCCAUGAGGAAGUGCAUAGUGGUUCUGUUACAAAUAUGGACUGGGAUAUAGGGAAGGUGGACCAUUUCAAUAUUUUGUUUAUGGAACUGCUUGCUCUGAGGUUGAAAUUGACCAUCUUACAGGAGACAAUAAGUCUGGACCUUGGUUAUGCCUUGACAAAGAAAUUUGGACCUUGACAAGAAAUAAUCGACUACCUUUGGUCUGGAGAAUAAAUUCACAAAGAUUUUUGAGCUGGUGCUGAACAGGGGAGAAUGUACUUAGUUAUAUUACAGCAACAAAUUCAGAAGAUUAUGAAUCAAGAAUACUACUUUUUCAAUAUAAUAUUGCACUGGUACUACAAAACAUACAAAAAUUAAUGAAUAUUUUCUUUACCUAUGUCAGUAUAUUGCUGCAGUCAUGUUUUAAUUCAUCUAUUGAUUAGACCAUUAAAUUUACUGAAAGUCCAAGAGAAACAGUACUUGUUUAAUAUUAAUUUGUCCAUGUGAUCCAGAAAGCAUGUACUAUGUAUGAUGUAUUAAAAUGUUCUGCACUUGCCAUACUGUUCUUUCCUAACCUAUCUGGUGAAUGAAAAUAUCAGUAAGUGCUGUUUCCAGUGUCACAACAUAAUUUAUUGUGCCUAAAACUAUUUGUAACCAUUUGUUGUGGAUAUUUAUGGUUGUGGUUAUUGUUGUGGAUAUUUUAUAUAGUUAAAUGUUGUUGUAUUAUAAUAAUCUAAGUAGUUUGUUUUUUUUUUAUUUCCAAAGUACCUUCAAUCCUUCCUGUCUUUCUCCCCACCCAAAAAAAACCUCCCAAACACAUUUUGUUAUCCUUCUAUAAUUAAUUCCAAAGUACUUAAUCUACUGUUUUCAGUUGCAUAUUUCUAACCUAGGGCAAUAAAACUACUUUUCUUAACUUUCAGUGUUGCAGUAUUAAAGGAAUCAAAUACAGUGAAGGAAGUGUUUUUGAAUUAUUGUAAUUUGUUUUGCAAGUUCUUCUGCUCUAUAGUUAUCCUGCAGCUUUUUUCACUGAGCUGGUGCUGAACAGGGGAGAAUGUACUUAGUUAAAUUCACCCAAAACAAUUUAGAGCAACAAAUUCAGAAGAUUAUGAAUUUGUAAUUAUGACAAAAGGAAAAAAUACUUGAUGUGUAGUCAUUGAGCGUCUAUACUAGUCACCUCUCAAUAAUAUAGCAUCUCUCA